RNAcentral lists this ribosomal RNA (1976 nucleotides) under Bacillus thuringiensis. RNAcentral's name for it is "bacterial LSU rRNA". It matches the Rfam family "Bacterial large subunit ribosomal RNA", at positions 942 to 2925 of the family's 2925-position model. Lineage: Bacteria; Bacillati; Bacillota; Bacilli; Caryophanales; Bacillaceae. The record is from RNAcentral.
AAUUCAGUCAAACUCCGAAUGCCAAUGACUUAUCCUUAGGAGUCAGACUGCGAGUGAUAAGAUCCGUAGUCAAGAGGGAAACAGCCCAGAUCGCCAGCUAAGGUCCCAAAGUGUGUAUUAAGUGGAAAAGGAUGUGGAGUUGCUUAGACAACUAGGAUGUUGGCUUAGAAGCAGCCACCAUUUAAAGAGUGCGUAAUAGCUCACUAGUCGAGUGACUCUGCGCCGAAAAUGUACCGGGGCUAAAUACACCACCGAAGCUGCGAAUUGAUACCAAUGGUAUCAGUGGUAGGGGAGCGUUCUAAGUGCAGUGAAGUCAGACCGGAAGGACUGGUGGAGCGCUUAGAAGUGAGAAUGCCGGUAUGAGUAGCGAAAGACGGGUGAGAAUCCCGUCCACCGAAUGCCUAAGGUUUCCUGAGGAAGGCUCGUCCGCUCAGGGUUAGUCAGGACCUAAGCCGAGGCCGACAGGCGUAGGCGAUGGACAACAGGUUGAUAUUCCUGUACCACCUCUUUAUCGUUUGAGCAAUGGAGGGACGCAGAAGGAUAGAAGAAGCGUGCGAUUGGUUGUGCACGUCCAAGCAGUUAGGCUGAUAAGUAGGCAAAUCCGCUUAUCGCGUAUGCUGAGCUGUGAUGGGGAAGCUCCUUAUGGAGCGAAGUCUUUGAUUCCCCGCUGCCAAGAAAAGCUUCUAGCGAGAUAAAAGGUGCCUGUACCGCAAACCGACACAGGUAGGCGAGGAGAGAAUCCUAAGGUGUGCGAGAGAACUCUGGUUAAGGAACUCGGCAAAAUGACCCCGUAACUUCGGGAGAAGGGGUGCUUUCUUAACGGAAAGCCGCAGUGAAUAGGCCCAAGCGACUGUUUAGCAAAAACACAGGUCUCUGCGAAGCCGUAAGGCGAAGUAUAGGGGCUGACACCUGCCCGGUGCUGGAAGGUUAAGGAGAGGGGUUAGCGUAAGCGAAGCUCUGAACUGAAGCCCCAGUAAACGGCGGCCGUAACUAUAACGGUCCUAAGGUAGCGAAAUUCCUUGUCGGGUAAGUUCCGACCCGCACGAAAGGUGUAACGAUUUGGGCACUGUCUCAACCAGAGACUCGGUGAAAUUAUAGUACCUGUGAAGAUGCAGGUUACCCGCGACAGGACGGAAAGACCCCGUGGAGCUUUACUGUAGCCUGAUAUUGAAUUUUGGUACAGUUUGUACAGGAUAGGCGGGAGCCAUUGAAACCGGAGCGCUAGCUUCGGUGGAGGCGCUGGUGGGAUACCGCCCUGACUGUAUUGAAAUUCUAACCUACGGGUCUUAUCGACCCGGGAGACAGUGUCAGGUGGGCAGUUUGACUGGGGCGGUCGCCUCCUAAAGUGUAACGGAGGCGCCCAAAGGUUCCCUCAGAAUGGUUGGAAAUCAUUCGUAGAGUGCAAAGGCAUAAGGGAGCUUGACUGCGAGACCUACAAGUCGAGCAGGGACGAAAGUCGGGCUUAGUGAUCCGGUGGUUCCGCAUGGAAGGGCCAUCGCUCAACGGAUAAAAGCUACCCCGGGGAUAACAGGCUUAUCUCCCCCAAGAGUCCACAUCGACGGGGAGGUUUGGCACCUCGAUGUCGGCUCAUCGCAUCCUGGGGCUGUAGUCGGUCCCAAGGGUUGGGCUGUUCGCCCAUUAAAGCGGUACGCGAGCUGGGUUCAGAACGUCGUGAGACAGUUCGGUCCCUAUCCGUCGUGGGCGUAGGAAAUUUGAGAGGAGCUGUCCUUAGUACGAGAGGACCGGGAUGGACGCACCGCUGGUGUACCAGUUGUUCUGCCAAGGGCAUAGCUGGGUAGCUAUGUGCGGAAGGGAUAAGUGCUGAAAGCAUCUAAGCAUGAAGCCCCCCUCAAGAUGAGAUUUCCCAUAGCGUAAGCUAGUAAGAUCCCUGAAAGAUGAUCAGGUUGAUAGGUUCGAGGUGGAAGCAUGGUGACAUGUGGAGCUGACGAAUACUAAUAGAUCGAGGACUUAACCAU